GUGCAGCCGCCGCGGUAAUACCGGCAGCUCAAGUGAUGUCCCAUAUUAUUGGGCCUAAAGCGUCCGUAGCUGGCCGACCAAGUCUCCCGGGAAAUCCACCCGCCCAACGGGUGGGCGUCCGGUAGAAACUGGCCGGCUUGGAACCGGAAGGCUCAGAGAGUACGUCCGGGGUAGGAGUGAAAUCCCGUAAUCCCGGACGGACUACCGAUGGCGAAAGCACUCUGAGAAGACGGCUUCGACAGUGAGGGACGAAAGCUCGGGUCUCGAACCGGAUUAGAUACCCUAGUUCC
This 290-nucleotide ribosomal RNA is filed under the name uncultured bacterium. Its description in RNAcentral is "partial 16S ribosomal RNA". It matches the Rfam family "Archaeal small subunit ribosomal RNA", at positions 455 to 747 of the family's 1478-position model. The record is from RNAcentral.